AUAGAACAGAGGUGUUAUACCAC
This 23-nucleotide non-coding RNA is filed under the name Arabidopsis thaliana (thale cress). The record is from RNAcentral. Lineage: Eukaryota; Viridiplantae; Streptophyta; Magnoliopsida; Brassicales; Brassicaceae.